RNAcentral lists this ribosomal RNA (254 nucleotides) under uncultured bacterium. RNAcentral describes it as "partial 16S ribosomal RNA". It matches the Rfam family "Bacterial small subunit ribosomal RNA", at positions 524 to 776 of the family's 1533-position model. The record is from RNAcentral.
UACGUAGGGGGCAAGCGUUGUCCGGAAUCAUUGGGCGUAAAGAGCGUGUAGGCGGCCAGAAAAGUCCGCUGUGAAAACUCGAGGCUCAACUUCGAGCUGUCGGUGGAAACUUUCUGGCUAGAGUCCGGAAGAGGAGAAUGGAAUUCCUGGUGUAGCGGUGAAAUGCGCAGAUAUCAGGAAGAACACCCGUGGCGAAGGCGGUUCUCUGGGACGGUACCGACGCUGAGACGCGAAAGCGUGGGGGAGCGAACAGG